This is a long non-coding RNA of Macadamia integrifolia, 1997 nucleotides long. RefSeq lists it as uncharacterized. The transcript is spliced from 5 exons. Lineage: Eukaryota; Viridiplantae; Streptophyta; Magnoliopsida; Proteales; Proteaceae. The record is from RefSeq and is a predicted model, not a curated record.
CGGCAUAUUACAAUCUUCGUCCUCUCACAAACUGACACACGCAGAGGCCACACAUCUUGAUAAACCCCACGUCCCUCUGUACUGUACACUCCAAUCUCCCGCAUUACAGUGCUGGUCGAGCUUCGAAGUGGAAGGGCUUUCCUUUCAAAGAGGGCUAGACACCAAUCCAGAGCGACAGCAAUGGCGGAAGAUGCAAUUCUAGGGUUCCUGGAAUCAAACGAGAAGAUAUCAGAUUCAGGCCAAUUCGCUACCGACGUGGAAUCGAUCAUAACGAAAUUAUCAACGUCAUCAAGAGUCUCCACGGUUUCAGACUAGUUGAUGCUCAGGACAUUAGGAGGGAGAAGUGGGUACUUAGUGAUGAAGGAAAGUCAUAUACCGUGGAGGGAUCACCCGAAGUGCAGCUCUUCUUGGCCAUACCGCCGGAGGGCAUUUCUCGAGAAGAAUUACAGAAAAAGGUGGAAGCAUCAGUUUACAAAAUAGGUUGUGCCCAGGCCAUAAAGAAUAAAUGGGUGGAGAUGGGGAAGCAGCUAGUUUCCAGAAAGGUUCAAAACGUUGAGGAUCGAGUCAAAGAUUUGCUUCUGCAGAUACAAGAAGGAGAGAUUGUUGAUCAAGAGGAUAUUGAUGCUCUCAAAAGACGGAAGCUUAUUGCCCUGCAGUAAUGAUCACAUUUUGUUUGCCUUUUUAUAUUACUAGAAUUCUUGCUUUGUGAUAUUAUUACAUGUGUUGUGGCUUGACAUAUCUUAUACAGUUUGUAUGUAGGGUAAAAUAUGCAUGAGAUAGUUGCCUAUGAAAAUAUUCCCUUCUGCUUGUUGAACUCAUGCCAAAAUCAGUGUAACUGGCAAUUUCCAGCCUAGGUAAAGGACAGUGCAGGUAUCUGUUCAAUGCAGAUAGGUGGGAUCCAACAUUGCAUUUGGUGUAAAAACUGUUUGACCCUGAUUUCUUGCUUACUCAGCCCAGAGUGGCAUUCCGCAAAACAAGUAGAUUCCCGCCCAACUUGCUCCUUUUUUUUUUGAGCCCAGAGUGGCAUUCCGCAAAACAAGUAGAUUCCCACCCAACCUGCUCUUUACUUCUUGAAAUAUUCCAUUGAGGUCAAAGUGUGUUUUGAACAAGUUGAUUGGUCUUGUUGGUUGAUUGAACUGUUGGCCCAGUGACCUGGUCAUGAGAAUUGGUUGAGAACUGAUUGGGUGUCGCAACAUUGAAGACUGUAGAGGUUUGCAUGGAGAGCAGAAGGCUCAGCGGCCAACAUUUACAUGGUUGUGAGGUGUCCGAUAUGACAGUUUUUGAAAUUGAAGUGUCCUUGUCACAUCACACUGGACCUUGUUAUGGCUAUUCCCUUGGAGCACAUGGUUGAAAGAAUUAGCUUCAGUUGCAUGAUGAAUAGAAAGAAAUUGACUAUUCUAUGUAGGAAAUUAGUCGGACUGAUUUCUGAUAUUUUGUUUUUCACAUUGUCAAUUGAUCAAAUAUGAUGUUGCAUGAACUCACUCUUUCCAACCCCACUACUUUUUCCUGUUGAGGCUUAGUGAUUUUAUCAACUAAAUAGCAAGCGGCAACAACAAUUUGUGGCCAAUAGACCCAAAAACCACCAUGGAAUUUAAUGUAACCUAGAUUCAGUUGCAAACCAGACCAAUCUUUCUUUAUUCUGGUGGAUAUGGGCCAAUGUAGUUGUCAUCUUUCUGGUGCAGGGGCACACGACCAGGCAGCUUUCUUUUCCCCAAUAAGAAUAAAUACUCAAAACUAAACUAAUGAAGUAAUUCCCGUAUUCAUCCCUCCUACCUAUAUUUUAGGCCUGUUAAAGUAUCCUGUCACAAAGAAAAGCCAUUGGACCAAAGGCUCAACAUGUAUAUAACCCAACCGAAGGUUUAAUUCUGAUGAGCUCAUUAAUGUGUGAAAUCUAGGGUAGUAAAACAUGCAUUUUACAUAUUUAGAAUGGAGCUACCUUGGGUUUUACUCUUUUUUUGCAGGUUUUAUAUUUUCAAGGCCUUAAGGAUUAUUGGGCG